GCACCGCCCCCGCCGCGCCCGCUGUGCUCGCCCUAUUGGCUGCCGGGCUCCAGACCCCGCCCUUCGGCCCUGCGGCGCUCCGGAUUGGACAGAUUAGAGCGGAGGCGGCACGCCCCCCAGCCGCUAAAGGAACUACCUUGGGCUAGCAUUAGCGGCCUCUCCUGUCAGUCAAACGAGGAGCUCCUACUUAAGCCGCUGAGAGGCCAACACGGGUCACUCCCUGGGAAACGCCCAGAGGCCAGAGGCUAAAGGACUUUUUUUUUUUUUAGGUGGGCCAGAGUUUUGUGGUUUCCCUAGCUCCCAGAAGAAUUGCGAUCCUUGAUCAAGAAUCAGAAAAGGUGGACUUUGAGAAAGUUUCCUCGGAUCUGGAGAAAUUGCUACUUUUCUAGAGGACCCGGAUUCUAUUCCAAGCACCUACCUAGAGGCUUACCAUGUUGGGAUUGGCAGGAGGAGAGACGGUUCGGUUCGGUGGGUAAAGUACUUACGGCACCAACGUGAAGACCCGAGUUCUGAUUCCCAGAAAGCAGGUUAUCUGUAUGUGUGUAUGCAUUCCACAGCACAAGUGGGAAAGGUCAGAGGCCAGUCCCCUGGAGAAAGUACAGUCCUUCCACCUUGUGGGGCCUCGGGAUCAAACGCAGGUUAUCAGACUAGAAAGCAAAGCACUUUUAUUUGCUGAGACAUCUCGUUGCCUUCUGAAAAACAGCAGAGGCAAACUGCCUCCAGCUGCCUGAAUGGGCCAGAACUCACCGGAUAGCCAAGGAUGACCUUGAGCUCCCGAUCCUCCUGCCUCUACCUCCCAGGAGCUAGGAUUACAACGACUCUUACAGGUGCAUCUGCCAUAUACCUCUACUGCUUCUCCUGCCUCUCAGUACUUCAGGGCACAGAUCCUGAUGGAAAGUCUAACUUCUACUAAAUGGAAAACCCAUGUGGAGUGUCUCUAGCACAGGACGACCAUUUGUGCCAAGUUAGACCAAGUAAAACUUGAAUGAAGACCCAA
Molecule: long non-coding RNA, 997 nt
Organism: Mastomys coucha (southern multimammate mouse)
Lineage: Eukaryota; Metazoa; Chordata; Mammalia; Rodentia; Muridae
Exons: 3
Source: RefSeq, a predicted model, not a curated record